GAGAGCGGUCAAGACUGCUGUACCUGUUUCCAAGUCCACUGAGUUAACUGCUGUCAGUGUAGAAGCUUUCACUACAGAGAAUCCUAGGGCUAUUCCAGUUAUCCCCAAGUCUGUCCAGUCUUCUCCAGAACCUCUAGAGUCCAUCAGCGCAGCCCAGGAGGGCACGCCAGAGUCAAGCCCAGUGCCUGUCCUUACAGCCCAGGAGGGCACGCCAGAGUCAAGCCCAGUGCCUGUCCUUACAGCCCAGAAGGGCACGCCAGAGUCAAGCCCAGUGCCUGUCCCUGAGGCCCUGGAAAGUGCUUCAAGGUCCGUACCGGAAUCCAUUCUUGCAUCUCCGGAACUGGUUUCCCAAGGAUGCACCCUCUCUGCCCAUGUGGUCAUGGCCCCUGAGUUUGUCCCAAGGUCCUUCACGCGUCAAGAGUUUGCCCCAGAGGCCAUAAGGGCUAUUCCCAAGAAUUCUCCAGUAAGACAAGUCCACAUCCCCAGAAGGACCACCAACAGGAUCCCCAUCCCACCCACCCUAUUAGCUAGUCCUUUUGGAUCCCAUAAGCCAGAACCUCCUUGGUCCACCUCAAACUAUUCCCCAGGAUUAUUUUCCUCCCUCCCAGUCCCACCCUUUAUGUUUUCUGGCUACCCUGGAGUUCCAAGUUUUGUUCCCAACCCGCCCCCCCAGUUGGUACCUCCCUGUACUGUUUUGCCCACUGUGGACGCCUGGAGGCGUCCAUUGGGAGGAGGGUAUUGUCAGGAACCUGCCCGGACAGUCUUGUCUUUGUUCGGUGUUUUACUGUUUGUUUUGUGUCUAAGCACAUGGUUCUGUCUCUGUUUGUGUCUGCCACAUGCUCCUCUCAUCCCACCUCCUUGUUUCCCUUGGUCACGCCCCCUUGUUUAGCCCUUGUCUGCUUGAUUGUUUUCACCUGAUCCUCGUGUGCUGCUCUAUAUAUUGGGUUUCCUUUCCUUGUGUCUCUGCUGGUUCGUUUUUGGUGUUUACCUGUCUCUUGGC
Long non-coding RNA from Cyprinus carpio carpio, 1000 nucleotides. NCBI's taxonomy places the organism in Eukaryota, Metazoa, Chordata, Actinopteri, Cypriniformes, Cyprinidae. The record is from Ensembl.